AUACGUAGGGUGCGAGCGUUGUCCGGAAUUACUGGGCGUAAAGAGCUCGUAGGUGGUUUGUCGCGUCGUCUGUGAAAUUCCGGGGCUUAACUCCGGGCGUGCAGGCGAUACGGGCAUAACUUGAGUACUGUAGGGGAGACUGGAAUUCCUGGUGUAGCGGUGAAAUGCGCAGAUAUCAGGAGGAACACCGGUGGCGAAGGCGGGUCUCUGGGCAGUAACUGACGCUGAGGAGCGAAAGCAUGGGUAGCGAACAGGAUUAGAUACCCUGGUAGUCCAUGCCGUAAACGGUGGGCGCUAGGUGUAGGGGUCUUCCACGACUUCUGUGCCGUAGCUAACGCAUUAAGCGCCCCGCCUGGGGAGUACGGCCGCAAGGUUGAAACUCAAAUGAAUUGACGGGG
RNAcentral lists this ribosomal RNA (398 nucleotides) under uncultured bacterium. Its description in RNAcentral is "partial 16S ribosomal RNA". It matches the Rfam family "Bacterial small subunit ribosomal RNA", at positions 523 to 918 of the family's 1533-position model. The record is from RNAcentral.